RNAcentral lists this long non-coding RNA (669 nucleotides) under Salmo salar (Atlantic salmon). RNAcentral's name for it is "lncRNA (ENSSSAG00000116558.1, ENSSSAG00075028399.1)". Lineage: Eukaryota; Metazoa; Chordata; Actinopteri; Salmoniformes; Salmonidae. The record is from RNAcentral.
GAACUUUUAUUUCAGCUCAUGAAACAUUGGACCAACAAUUUACAUGUUUGUUUAUACUUUUUUUCAGUAUAGAAACAAUUAGUAGACUGCAAAUUGACUGUAGUCAUCCGGAACAACAGGGCUUUCACGCAAGACUCAGUGUUUUAUUCCUUCUCCGUCAUUUAGCUCGUUUGGGAGUUCUGCAUCACUGGGCAUCUCACGGCUGGAUUUUCCUGUGUAGUCUGUUAUCAUCUGCAAACCCUGGCACAUACGACGAGCGUCGGAGCCAGUAUAAUAGGCUUCCACCUUCCUCCUAUAUUGUCCUUUUGCAUGUUCGAUGUCUCAUUGGAGGUCAUAGCGGGUUUAUUUAUAUGGGUCCAUGUCCGUGUCCGUGCCUUGUACUUGGUAGCUCUAGCCUUUAACCCAGCAUGGAUUUUCCCCGUAAUCCGUGGUUUUUGGUUUGGAUACCUUCAUAUAGUCACUGUGGGGACGACGUAGUCUAUGCACUUAUUGAUGAAGCCUGUGACCAAUGUGGACGGUGUAGUUUCGUGAUAAUGAUCAAGAGCAGCUGCUUACUGAAUUGACAGAUCCAGCACAGUUCCACCUCAGACACCGCCAAAACAUCAGCUACUAUCUGCCACCCCCAGCAGUUCAGCUGCAGUCACAGCAGUCCUCUGCUGUGGCAUUUCA